RNAcentral lists this small RNA (742 nucleotides) under Pan troglodytes (chimpanzee). RNAcentral's name for it is "retained intron". The record is from RNAcentral. Lineage: Eukaryota; Metazoa; Chordata; Mammalia; Primates; Hominidae.
AGACUCCGACUGGAUCCUUAGGGAAAUCCCGCAUCCUUCGAAAGCAGGAUGCGGCCACGCCCCCCGGGUGGCAACAUUGUGAUUGGUGGGUGGGGUUCAGGAGGUGUCGGGCCUGCCCCCGCUAGAGCUGGAACGCUGUUCUGAUUGGACCAUCGCCGGGUGGGCGUGACAUGAUUGUCCGGGCUGGGGCCUCCGCCGACCGGCCUGACCGCGCCCGGGAUGCCCUCGCUCAGGACCGUGGACGCGCUGGGUGUGCUGACCGGGGCGCAGCUUUUCUCGCUGCAGAAGGAGGAGCUGCGGGCGGUGAGCCCCGAGGAGGGGGCACGUGUGUACAGCCAGGUCACCGUGCAGCGCGCGCUGCUGGAGGACAAAGAGAAAGUGUCAGAGCUGGAGGCAGUGAUGGAGAAGCAAAAGAAGAAGGUGGAAGGCGAGGUGGAAAUGGAGGUCAUUUGACCUGCCAGGCGCCCUUCGCAGAGUGACGAGGCCCCGUGGGAGAACGGACUCUUCAGACUCUCCCCAAUAGCGGAAGUCGAUCUUCUGAAGGAUGGCCAAUCUGCUCCGGCCCUGGUCUUCCCCCAUCCCGGUGGACAGACUUAACGAUCCUUGCUGCAGUCCCUCCGGAGAGGAUCUGGACUGGCUGGGAGUGGGGAGGGCGUGGAGACAGUCUACGGAAAGCGCUAGCAGACCCCCGAGAGGGUGCAGUGGAGCCCUGAGCAUUGUAAUAUGCCGCCCAGCCUAUAAA